UACGGGGGGGGCAAGCGUUGUUCGGAAUUACUGGGCGUAAAGGGCUCGUAGGCGGCCAACUAAGUCAGACGUGAAAUCCCUCGGCUUAACCGGGGAACUGCGUCUGAUACUGGAUGGCUAGAGGUUGGGAGAGGGAUGCGGAAUUCCAGGUGUAGCGGUGAAAUGCGUAGAUAUCUGGAGGAACACCGGUGGCGAAGGCGGCUUGCUGGGCCAGUUCUGACGCUGAGGAGCGAAAGCGUGGGGAGCGAACAGG
RNAcentral lists this ribosomal RNA (253 nucleotides) under uncultured bacterium. RNAcentral's name for it is "partial 16S ribosomal RNA". It matches the Rfam family "Bacterial small subunit ribosomal RNA", at positions 524 to 776 of the family's 1533-position model. The record is from RNAcentral.